Molecule: non-coding RNA, 118 nt
Organism: Rostrohypoxylon terebratum
Lineage: Eukaryota; Fungi; Ascomycota; Sordariomycetes; Xylariales; Hypoxylaceae
Source: the annotation of a GenBank genome assembly
GCCCUUAUAGCUCAGUGGUAGAGCGCAGCACUCGUAUUACUAUAUAUAGAAGUCAUACUAUAUAUUAACUGCAUAUGAGUUUAUGCUGAGGUCCAUCGUUCAAUCCGGUGUGGGGGCA